UUGAUCCUGGCUCAGGACGAACGCUGGCGGCGCGCCUAACACAUGCAAGUCGAACGAGAGAUGAGGAGCUUGCUCUUCAAAUCGAGUGGCGAACGGGUGAGUAACGCGUGAGGAACCUGCCUCAAAGAGGGGGACAACAGUUGGAAACGACUGCUAAUACCGCAUAAGCCCACGGCUCGGCAUCGAGCAGAGGGAAAAGGAGCAAUCCGCUUUGAGAUGGCCUCGCGUCCGAUUAGCUAGUUGGUGAGGUAAUGGCCCACCAAGGCGACGAUCGGUAGCCGGACUGAGAGGUUGAACGGCCACAUUGGGACUGAGACACGGCCCAGACUCCUACGGGAGGCAGCAGUGGGGAAUAUUGCACAAUGGGGGAAACCCUGAUGCAGCGACGCCGCGUGGAGGAAGAAGGUCUUCGGAUUGUAAACUCCUGUUGUUGAGGAAGAUAAUGACGGUACUCAACAAGGAAGUGACGGCUAACUACGUGCCAGCAGCCGCGGUAAAACGUAGGUCACAAGCGUUGUCCGGAAUUACUGGGUGUAAAGGGAGCGCAGGCGGGAGAACAAGUUGGAAGUGAAAUCCAUGGGCUCAACCCAUGAACUGCUUUCAAAACUGUUUUUCUUGAGUAGUGCAGAGGUAGGCGGAAUUCCCGGUGUAGCGGUGGAAUGCGUAGAUAUCGGGAGGAACACCAGUGGCGAAGGCGGCCUACUGGGCACCAACUGACGCUGAGGCUCGAAAGUGUGGGUAGCAAACAGGAUUGGAUACCCUGGUAGUCCACACCGUAAACGAUGAUUACUAGGUGUUGGAGGAUUGACCCCUUCAGUGCCGCAGUUAACACAAUAAGUAAUCCACCUGGGGAGUACGACCGCAAGGUUGAAACUCAAAGGAAUUGACGGGGGCCCGCACAAGCAGUGGAGUAUGUGGUUUAAUUCGACGCAACGCGAAGAACCUUACCAAGUCUUGACAUCCCUUGACGAUGCUGGAAACAGUAUUUCUCUUCGGAGCAAGGAGACAGGUGGUGCAUGGUUGUCGUCAGCUCGUGUCGUGAGAUGUUGGGUUAAGUCCCGCAACGAGCGCAACCCUUAUGGUCAGUUACUACGCAAGAGGACUCUGGCCAGACUGCCGUUGACAAAACGGAGGAAGGUGGGGAUGACGUCAAAUCAUCAUGCCCUUUAUGACUUGGGCUACACACGUACUACAAUGGCGUUAAACAAAGAGAAGCAAGACCGCGAGGUGGAGCAAAACUCAGAAACAACGUCCCAGUUCGGACUGCAGGCUGCAACUCGCCUGCACGAAGUCGGAAUUGCUAGUAAUCGUGGAUCAGCAUGCCACGGUGAAUACGUUCCCGGGCCU
RNAcentral lists this ribosomal RNA (1347 nucleotides) under uncultured bacterium. RNAcentral's name for it is "bacterial SSU rRNA". It matches the Rfam family "Bacterial small subunit ribosomal RNA", at positions 13 to 1381 of the family's 1533-position model. The record is from RNAcentral.